Molecule: ribosomal RNA, 1937 nt
Filed under: metagenome
Description: bacterial LSU rRNA
Rfam family: Bacterial large subunit ribosomal RNA
Source: RNAcentral
CACUUGACCAGUGAGCUAUUACGCAUUCUUUAAAUGCAUGGCUGCUUCUAAGCCAACGUCCUGGUUGUCUUAGUAGAUUCACAUCCUUUUCCACUUAAUUCAAAUUUCAGACGCAGACAUAAAAGAUAGGAUAUUAAAGAAAAAUAUUCAAAAAAAACACAAGUCUAAAGUCAAAAGUGAGUAACAUAAGAAAUUAUGAACUAACAAUCACUGGUUAGAGUUAAAAACUAGGACUCAUAGCUAAACUUAAUACCUCUAUUAGUGGUAGAGGAGCAUUGUAUUAGAGACGAAGCCAAGGCGAAAGCAAAAGUGGAUCUAAUACAAGAGAGAAUGCUGGCAUGAGUAGCGAGAAGGGAUGUGAGAAUCAUCCCCGUCGAAACCCUAAGGACUCCUGAGCAAGGCUCGUCCCCUCAGGGAAAGUCGGGACCUAAGCCAAGGCCGAAAGGCGUAGGCGAUGGAUAACAGGUUUAUAUUCCUGUACCGCUUGAAGUCGAUAUGAGAGAAGUGAUGACGCAAAAGGAUAAGCAAAGCCAUCAGAUGGAAAAGAUGGUCUAAAGCCGUAGGAAGAAAAGUAGGCAAAUCCGCUUUUCACAAAUUCUAAAAGCCGAUAGGUAUCGAAAACAUAAGUAGAGAAGUUGCCGAUUCCAGGUUGCCAAGAAAAGUCACUAUCCAGACCAAAGCGCCCGUACCAAAACCGACACAGGUAGGGAGGUAGAGAAUACCAAGACGCGCGGAAGAACCUUUGUUAAGGAACUCGGCAAAAUGUCCCCGUAACUUCGGGAGAAGGGGAGCCUGAGCAAUCAGGCCACAGAAACCAGGCCCAAGCGACUGUUUACCAAAAACACAAGUUUCUGCAAAAUCGCAAGAUGAAGUAUAGGAGCUGACACCUGCCCGGUGCUGGAAGGUUAAGGGGAAGGCUUAGAGCAAUCGAAGGCUAGAACUUAAGCCCCAGUAAACGGCGGCCGUAACUAUAACGGUCCUAAGGUAGCGAAAUUCCUUGUCGGGUAAGUUCCGACCCGCACGAAAGGUGUAACGAUUUGGGCACUGUCUCAACAAAGGAUCCGGUGAAAUUGUAGUAGUCGUGAAGAUGCGACUUACCCACGCUAGGACGGAAAGACCCCGUGGAGCUUUACUGUAGGCUGAUAUUGGAUUUUGAGAUUAAAUGUACAGGAUAGUUGGGAGACUGAGAUAUCUGGAUGCCAAUCUAGGAGGAGUCACUGGUGGGAUACCAACCUUUUAAUAUCAAAGUUCUAACCAUAGCCCUUGAAUCAGGGCAUGGGACAUUGUCAGUUGGGCAGUUUGACUGGGGCGGUCGCCUCCUAAAAAGUAACGGAGGCGUUCAAAGGUUCGCUCAGAAUGGACGGAAACCAUUCGUAGAGUAUAAAGGCAGAAGCGAGCUUAACUGCGAGAGCUACAACUCAAGCAGAGUCGAAAGACGGACUUAGUGAUCCGGUGGUACCGCAUGGAAGGGCCAUCGCUCAACGGAUAAAAGCUACCCUGGGGAUAACAGGCUUAUCUCCCCCAAGAGUCCACAUCGACGGGGAGGUUUGGCACCUCGAUGUCGGCUCGUCUCAUCCUGGGGCUGGAGUAGGUCCCAAGGGUUGGGCUGUUCGCCCAUUAAAGAGGCACGCGAGCUGGGUUCAGAACGUCGUGAGACAGUUCGGUCCCUAUCCAGCGUGGGCGUAAGAAAUUUGAGAGGAGCUGUCCUUAGUACGAGAGGACCGGGAUGGACGCACCAAUGGUGUACGAGUUGUUAGGCCACUAGCAUGGCUCGGUAGCUAAGUGCGGGAAUGAUAAGUACUGAAAGCAUCUAAGUACGAAGCAUGCCUCAAGAUAAGAUUUCUCAGAGUAGGUAAAGAAAAUACCUUAGAUAGGUCCAAGGUGUAAGUGCAGUAAUGUAUUAAGCUAAUGGAUACUAAACUUUAAAUCUUGACUGG